GGUGGGGUGCCUGAGUGGUCUAAAGGGGCUGAUUCGAAAUCAGCUUUCCCCGAAAGGGGAACGUGGGUUCAAAUCCCACCCCCACCG
Molecule: transfer RNA, 87 nt
Filed under: bacterium
Lineage: Bacteria
Description: tRNA-Ser
Rfam family: tRNA
About the family: Transfer RNA (tRNA) molecules are approximately 80 nucleotides in length.
Source: RNAcentral